This is a non-coding RNA of Lolium perenne, 378 nucleotides long. The record is from RefSeq and is a predicted model, not a curated record. Lineage: Eukaryota; Viridiplantae; Streptophyta; Magnoliopsida; Poales; Poaceae.
GACCCAGAUAAAAUACAUGUUGAAACGGUGAAGCAUAAACGCGAAGAAACGGGGGGAAACCUACUAAGGUUUUUGGGGCAGCAAUAUUUCUGUGAUUCAAUAUUGUUUCCUUACAACUACGACUUCCACUGGAUUCUACUAGACAUUCAACCUGAUAAGGGAAUAGUUGAAGUAAAAGACCCACUGAGUAGAGGCCUGGACGGGUUCCAGGACUUGCAGAAGUUGCUCCAAGUGGCUUGGCAAGCUUUGAAGAAUGUUCAUAAGGAGAUUACCUUUGCAAAGAAGCUAACAUUUAAUCCUGUACCGUGCCCCCAGCAGCCACAAGGGACGAAUCUAUGUGGAUACUACGUUUGCGAGUCCAUUCGCAUGUUAACCACU